This 492-nucleotide ribosomal RNA is filed under the name uncultured bacterium. RNAcentral's name for it is "partial 16S ribosomal RNA". It matches the Rfam family "Bacterial small subunit ribosomal RNA", at positions 30 to 507 of the family's 1533-position model. The record is from RNAcentral.
AUUGAACGCUGGCGGCAUGCUUUACACAUGCAAGUCGAACGGUAACAGGCCUUCGGGUGCUGCCGAGUGGCGAACGGGUGAGUAAUGCAUCGGAACGUGCCCAGAGGUGGGGGAUAACGCAGCGAAAGCUGUGCUAAUACCGCAUGUGAUCUGAGGAUGAAAGCGGGGGACCAGGCAGCAAUGUUUGGCCUCGCGCCUUUGGAGCGGCCGAUGUCAGAUUAGGUAGUUGGUGGGGUAAAGGCCUACCAAGCCGACGAUCUGUAGCUGGUCUGAGAGGACGACCAGCCACACUGGGACUGAGACACGGCCCAGACUCCUACGGGAGGCAGCAGUGGGGAAUUUUGGACAAUGGGCGCAAGCCUGAUCCAGCAAUGCCGCGUGCGGGAAGAAGGCCUUCGGGUUGUAAACCGCUUUUGUACGGAACGAAAAGGCUCUGGCUAAUACCUGGGGCUGAUGACGGUACCGUAAGAAUAAGCACCGGCUAACUACGUG